This is a long non-coding RNA of Dalotia coriaria, 392 nucleotides long. RefSeq lists it as uncharacterized. The transcript has 6 exons. NCBI's taxonomy places the organism in Eukaryota, Metazoa, Arthropoda, Insecta, Coleoptera, Staphylinidae. The record is from RefSeq and is a predicted model, not a curated record.
ACAUUUCUUACUAAUGUGAAAAGUCUGUUGCAUCGGAAGGACAAUUAAGUGAUCGACGUUAAUGCAAAUUAGAACUAUUAUAUUCAUAAAUUUUUUUGUUUAGCGGGCAAACACCAUAUCGUAGGACAACAGAUCUUUAACCAAACUCUCGACUGAUUUUGUGGUUUUUUUGCUAUAGCGGGCGAACGCCAAGCCGAAGGACAACCGUUCUUUCAACAAAUUGUAGCGGGCGAACGCCAUGCCGGAGGACAAACGUUCUUUCACCAAAUUCGGGCGAACGCCAUGCCGGAGGACAACCGUUCUUUCACCAAAUUGUAGCGGGCGAACGCCAUGCCGGAGGACAACCGUUCUUUCACCAAAUUCGGGCGAACGCCAUGCCGGAGGACAACCGU